GGGAAUAUAGCUUAGUCGGUAGAGUGCCUGCCUUGCAUGCACAUAGGCCCUGGGUUCAAUCCCUAGUACCA
Ictidomys tridecemlineatus (thirteen-lined ground squirrel) is the source of this 71-nucleotide non-coding RNA. NCBI's taxonomy places the organism in Eukaryota, Metazoa, Chordata, Mammalia, Rodentia, Sciuridae. The record is from Rfam.